RNAcentral lists this ribosomal RNA (442 nucleotides) under uncultured bacterium. RNAcentral describes it as "partial 16S ribosomal RNA". It matches the Rfam family "Bacterial small subunit ribosomal RNA", at positions 338 to 795 of the family's 1533-position model. The record is from RNAcentral.
CCUACGAGGGGCAGCAGUGGGGAAUAUUGGGCAAUGGGCGCAAGCCUGACCCAGCAACGCCGCGUGAAGGAAGAAGGCUUUCGGGUUGUAAACUUCUUUUCAGAGGGGAGAGCAGAAGACGGUAACACUUGAAUAAGCCACGGCUAACUACGUGCCAGCAGCCGCGGUAAUACGUAGGUGGCAAGCGUUGUACGGAUUUAGUGGGUGUAAAGGGCGUGCAGCCGGGAAGACAAGUCAGGUGUGAACUCCCACGGCUUAACCGCGGAACUGCAUUUGAAACUGUUUUUCUUGAGUACCGGAGAGGUAAUCGGAAUUCCUUGUGUAGCGGUGAAAUGCGUAGAUAUAAGGAAGAACACCAGUGGCGAAGGCGGAUGACUGGACGGCAACUGACGGUGAGGCGCGAAAGCGUGGGGAGCAAACAGGAUUAGAUACCCUUGUAGUC